CGAAAUCAUAAUAUUCUGUAUCUCAACUGAGAAACAACGUCUGUGUGAGAGCUAAAAAAAAAGAAAAUAAUUUAGUGAAAAUAAAAAAAAAAACAAAAAUGAAUAAUUUUUUAUCAAUUUUUUCGGACAAACCGGUAGCAGAACUCUCUGAGCCUCUUAAGGAGGAUUCGGCCGUAUGUUCGUUGCCACGUUGUGAACAUGAGCUCAAGUUGCGAGUGAUUAGUAUUGCUGCAGUUGUAUUACUUUUUCUAUAUGUGCUAUAUAAAUUUUUGCGUUCUCCGAUCCCGAAUUGGGAAGAAAGGAUUGUAGACGAUUUGCAAAAUACUACAGAUACAGGACACGCAAACUACAAUAGAACAGGAAAAGUAUCAGUUAAACACUUUAGCAAGUUCGAAGAUAUGAUUUUAAUGUGCAACAAGCGCACUAUCUCAACACAAACCGUGUUAUCCACAAAUGGCCAUGUUAUGACUAUGUGUGUUUAUAACGAGGAGGACAUAAUAAUAACUGAAAGGGCAAUCAUUUAGGAAACAGGAUCACUCAUUAAAGGCAAAUCUAUGUAGGGUUCAAGAAGAUAACACAAUCCACCACAAUGAAGAAUUUCCAGCA
Molecule: long non-coding RNA, 606 nt
Organism: Drosophila willistoni
Lineage: Eukaryota; Metazoa; Arthropoda; Insecta; Diptera; Drosophilidae
Exons: 3
Source: RefSeq, a predicted model, not a curated record